RNAcentral lists this long non-coding RNA (1918 nucleotides) under Theobroma cacao (cacao). Its description in RNAcentral is "long non-coding RNA (TCAC_LNC001042)". The record is from RNAcentral. Lineage: Eukaryota; Viridiplantae; Streptophyta; Magnoliopsida; Malvales; Malvaceae.
CGGUAAAUAAUUUUUUUGUAGCGUAAAAGCUAAAUAAAUUCAUACAUACUAUAAUACAGAUAACCAAAGUAUAAAAUUUAAUUUACAGUGACACGUGGGCCCACGAAUGACUAAAAGUAUCAAAAGAAAUGAACCUAGAAUUUUUGGAUGUGGCAAGUCCAACUGUAGUCCUCGACGAUAUCAGUUAUCUACAAUCUAUUUUGAGCCUGAAAUGGGUGGAAAUGAGGGUGGUGAGAUUAUAUAAUCCCAGUCAGUAAACAAAUACCAUCUAAAAUAUCUAAAGCCGAGUAAAUGAAGACAGAUAAAAUAGUUUAACAUACUGUAAUUCAUCACCUUUCAACUUGUUUCAACCAAAUAAAAUCAAUUCAUAUAAAUCGAGUAAUCAACAUGGCUUAUGAAUUUCUUAAAAGCUUUGGCUUGUGCCAAAAUCAUUCUCAUACCCAGUUAUCAGGGAUCCCUUGAUCGAGGGCUAUCCCAAUCGAGUCCGCCAAGGCUGUAAAAAUUUAUGUACGCAUAAAUCAUGUUUUUUGUUUUGAAAACAUAGUCGUUCCUUGACGUUGACUAAGUUCACCCUCACAUGGUGGUUUGGCAUGAAGUGAACUCUAAAAGUUAUACCUCAGGAGUUACCCUACUUGCCUCUCCAACCGAGGUAAAAUAUAACGGGGUUACCAUGCCCCUCUAAUAGGCUGGUCCAUGGAACCCGCCCACUGCAGUAAGCUAAUAAUUAUCCCACCAAUCAAUAAAAUUCAAUAACAUGAUAUGACAAUUAUUGUAACUCACAGCCUUUCAAGGAAAAUAAACAAUCCGUAUUUCAAUGCAAUUGCCAACUAGCCAAUCAUGCCCAUAGUGCCAUAAGCCAAUCAAUUAAAACCGUAAACUUACAACACAUCAAGUGGUCUCCAAUUACUCUAUUUUCAAAGCCAUCAUUUAAUUUCAAAACAAUAUUAUGAAAUCAUUUCAUUAAAUCACAUUCUGUUUACAAAACCAAAAAAUUAAUCAUUUAAUUAAUUUUCCAUAAAAUUCACAAAAUCGAAUAAAACAUACUUUAGAUAAUUAAGAUGAUGAUAAGGUUACUCACUAUGUCAAGAGUUCGGAUUUUGAAGUACUCUGACUAUUAAUCCUUGGGUGCAAUUUCUUUUCCCUUUUUCGGAGGAUUCACCACCUAGACAUAAUGUAAAAUCAAGCAAUUUACCACAUUGGUGCUAGACCAUUAUAAAACUAUUCUAAACUCUAUAUGGAUGCAUGAUAUGAAACGCGAAUUGUUCGGAUUAUUGUCUACAUGUGGUGUUGGUCUAACUCGAUUAAUCACCCGAUUAAUUGGCCAAUAUGUCCAAUUCAACUCCAAUUAACUCCAUUUCUUUUUCAAUACCUUAAUUCACCAAACACAAGUCAAAUAACCUAAAAUUUGGCAAAUCCAUCUUCACUUUUCUUCUUAGAAUUUUCGAUCAAUAAUGGUGCAUCAACAUCGUGAUUUUUCCUACUACUUUUCCUCACCAUAAUUCAUCAUUUUCUAACCAAUUCUCUUAAAAUAAAAAUCAAAUUCAUCCUCACUCAAUACAAGGUAGGUUCGGCCAUUGAUGGGUGAUGGGGAAAAUGAAUUCUUUUCUUAUUGUUUUACUUCUAGACAUGGUAAACUAACUAAAAAUACUAACAUAACUUGAAAUCAAAUCAAUCCAACAUCAUUCUCUCUCCAUACCCAUUCGGCUAGCCAUGAAUUCACCAUGAAAACAUGUAAUUUAACCAUGAAAAAUGCAAAAUAAUGCAUGGGAAAGGUAGAUCACAAGUCAAAAUCAAGAAAUUUUACCUUUGAUUGCUUGAUUACUUGAAAUCCACCAAUUUUCUCUUGAAUUUUCACCCUAGGGUUCUUAUUCUUUCUUUUCUUCCUUUGUUCUUCCUUUGGCGGGCCAUAUGAAGAGAA